AUCAAAGACCAAGCCGGCGCGAAGGCCCCGCCCCCAGCAGGGCGGUCCCGCCCCGCCCGCCUCCGCGGGGUGCUGGGCGGGCCUCGCUGCGGCGCGCGCUGCCCCCGCCGCCUGGGGCUCGGAGCCUCCCGUGCGCGCCUGGCACCGGGCACCGCCCGCCCCCGGCGUGCUCAGAGUCGGCCUGCUCGGGCAGGAGCCGGGAGCAGCGUCGCGGUGGCCAUCUCCCUUUGGAGGUGCUGAGCACGGGGGCUGUCCGUGGUGGUGCCUGCAGGGUCACGUGGCCGUUCGCCUUCACAACGAGGAACCGCAUCCUGUGUCAGGACAGCGGUUUCUAUGUGGAAUAAACCUGGUGCAGUACUCAUCAAAGCAAUCCAGUUAAAACUGCUGAAUGAUCUUACAGGCUCAGUGGGGAUUACCAUCGUGUUAAGAGCUUUUAAAAUGAGGGCUGUCUGGAAACGUAUGACCUGUGAGGUUGCCUGUAGGAGAUGAAAAGCGAGGACAGGAACAGCCCGCAGCAAUGCAUGGAAGAAUAUAAGAAGGUUGCCUGAACUUGCAGGCUGUGAGGAACUAUAGCCUGCUACAGAGCACCUGCCCUGUAGCUCACAAAGAGUUUCUGGGCGUGAUGCAGAAUUCUGUGACUUUGGGAUUAAUUCGGCCAAGAAUGCCAGCAUCUCCUUAAAUCCUGUUGACUUCAUUGGCAUGUGACACAAUCAAGAAAGCUGUUAUAUGAGCUGUCAAGUAUUGCUGAUCAUCGGUGUGUUUUGGUUGAUUGGAAGAGUGAUGUGUUUUGUUUUGUCACACUGGAUGUGUUUUGGGGUCAAAGUGGUCUCUUAUUCGUGAGAUUACUGUGACUUGGAUCCUGGUUCAAUACCCCAGGCACCACGUGUAACAACAGCGAGCUAUUCCCACUAUAUUUUGGAAUGGAUGCACCUAAAUAUUUGGGUAGCUAGUGUCACACAACUCUAGCAAAAUGAGAAUUCCUCUCGCAUUUUUCUCCCCCUGAUAGAUAUCAUAUUCGUGCGGCUGAAACCUGACAGCCUGCUGUGGUAGGGCCAGCACCUGCACUCUGACAAUAGUUUUUCAGCCCAAACUGUAUCUUUGCUCACACAUAUCUGAUGUGUCUCGAAUCCCUUCUGCUUUUGCCUCUACUUCUCAGAAAAAUUAGCCUUAAUAGUGACUCCUGUGUCUGACAUACCUGGAAAAAAACACAGAUGCAAGGAAUGGAAAUGGUUGCAUUCCUGUCCUUUACUAGGGAGAAAAAGUUGACUUUUCUAGCAGUUAGGAAUAUUUGCUUAGAAAGGCUUUGAGGAACAAAUACUUAAGUCUUCAACUAAAAAAAGGAAUAGGAAUAGGAAUUAUUGAAAUGUAAUCUAAAAAGUAAAGUAAAAAGCCUUUAAGACUUGCCCUAGCGGAUUUAAAAUUUUGAACUGUUUCCCAAGAGAAACAGAAAGAACAUCUUACGGUGGCAUUCAUAAAAUCCUCAGACAGCUGUGGUCCAAUGAGUCAUAGCUCCUCAAAGCCUCAGUGUUUUCAGAAUAUUGCAGCACACCCACUUCUCAAAUUACAGGGGAUCUUAACCUGAAAUACUGACCAGUGGUAGUAAUAGCAACUGGAAAGCACCUUUGGUUCAAUUCAUGUCCUGCUUAAGUUGUUUUCAUUGUUCUCUGCAUCACUAGAUUUUCUUUGUGCAUACUGCACAUCGCUUAAAAUCCUGUGUGCAUUCUGGAAAUGUCAUUAUAAGUAACUUUGAAUUAUCUCCGGUAAAUGCUUUCUGGUUAUCAUAAGCUCUCCAGUAUAUCUAUAUGUGGUUUCACCGAAACAAAAUGCUGAGGAAGAGCCUGAAUCAUAUCUGAGCAUAAAAAUGUGUAUAUAUUUACAAAUUUGGAAUUAUACUAAUACUUUUGCAGCUAUAAGCAACUGCUUUGAAAGUUAAUUAUUCUUACAGCAGUAUGAGUGCAUCGCUUGAUGUAUUUUUUCCUGAAAUGUUUUAAUGGUGUUUCAGCAUCUUGCAGCACAAGCUUCAGAAGACGGGAAAAUUUAUGCUCUUUUUUGUUACUUCUCACCCACAGACCUUACAUAUUAUAUAAAUAGGAUGAAGUUUGUCUUGUGUUACUGUCCCAAGUCUCUCCAGCAGAGACAAAUGCUAUCCAGAAAGAUGAGAUGGGAGGAGAAGCCUCACCCCAUAAUCUUGCCUGCUGCCGUACCCUUUGCUGCUCAAAAUCUCCAAUGACACUGUGAUGGUCUCCUGUCCUAGCCAAGCCUAGGGGCAGUACUGGGGCUCAUUAGAGGAGUAGGGUCUCAGUGUUCGCAUUAAUUCAUUGGCCUUCUCCUCAUCAAAAAGCUAUGCAGCAAUGGUAAAAGCCCUGUAGGGACAAAAUGGACAUUAAUACACAAAGUGCUGGGAAAUACUGGAAAUGAGGAGCUUCUUUCUAGAGAGAUCAUGAUGCUUAAGAUUUGAACAGAAGGACCAAGAUCAUCUGGUUUGGUUUGCAGCUGGCUCAAAGAUCAUACUCUUCGGAAACCCAUCCUGAAAGAUACUAAAUUGUGGUCUGACAAGGGAUUUGUCAUUGCGUGACUGUCCAGGAGGUGGAUAGUGUGCAGUCGGUAGCACUGUGAUCUUUGCACUGGGGCUAAGCAUCACGUUGCUUCCUUCUCCCUGAAAGCAAAGGAAUGUCUUUUUAAAUCAACAUCUACAUGAGGUGGAGCUUUAAUUACGUCUUCCCUUAACUUUUCAUUUAUAUCUAUUUUAUUUAUGUCAAAACCAGUUGCUGAGUGUAAGAAAGUGAAAACUUAGCUGAUUUUCAAAAGCAACUAGAAGCAGCUGUCCAUGUCAAUUCUGUACUGUCCAGCCUAGGUUGGGGUCAGUCUUGUGAUGGAAUUCUUUCUCUUACUGUGCUGAUGAUGCCUGUGCUGUGUUUCUAAACGCCUUGAUCAGCAGCCAACAUGGUUUACUUAAAACAGCUUGGGGUAUGUUCCAACAGGAAUGAGUAAAGCCACUGUACAUACUCAAGAGUAUUUGGACAAAAGCCAGUGAGGAAUCAACUUGAUUGGAAGCUGUCGUCACUAGCAGGUGCAAAGAGACUGAGGGCGAAUUGUGUUGCCUGUCCAGAGAGGAGCAGCUGUGCAUGUGGGUCUUGUGGAGGCUUGUGAACUCUAACAAAGGUGCAAGAGCUGUGCCAUCUUGGAGCAGGAAGUCCAGCAGGCCAGAAGUUGGGAGAAAGGGAGAGGAGGAGCCAGAAAUUAUAAUCUAGUGAUAAGCAUGCCUAAUUUUUCCACUUAAAAUUGACAUACGGUGUUGAAAAGAAAGGUAAAUGGCUGGCAGUAAGGAGGAACACUGCAUCAAACUCUGGCCUCUUCUCAGUAUUAAUAAAUACCUCUGUUGCAGACAGGUCUAGAAGUUGCUAUUUGCUCUUCUUGUCCAACUAGCAUCUUUUUUUUUACACCUUCUUAUCCCUUCUGAGGCUCUACACCGUCCUACUUGCACGCAGCUGUGUUUUCAAUGUGACUGUCGGCUGACAAAUAUUUGAAAUAUGUCUUCACUGGUAAUUCCUAACUUCUAGUUUUAAGGGGUAACAAUGCUACUACAUAAUUACAAAAAAAAAAAAUCUGUUAAGCAGAGAUCUGAUGCAGGACUAAAGAAUGAUAAUAGUAAACAUGUAUUUACAUCUUUUUUCCAUAUUAAAAGAAUAUUUGUGUGUAGUUUGUGGACUUUUACUUUGGCUAUUAAAAGCACUAAGACAAAAACGCGAUGAAAGAAGAAAAUGUAAUUGAAAAGGUGGUGAAAGCACAAAACAUAUAGUCAGUUUACAGUUUCUAAGACAGAUAAGGGAAUUUUGAGAGACAGAGAAUAUAAAAUGAGCAAAAGUGCAGCUGUAGCUGUCACUAAACUCAGGGUAAAUCCUCCUGUCUUUGCACCUUGUAACACAAUAGGUAUCGUUAACUGAGUUAUUCAAAUGUCUUCUUUAAUCAUGUGACUUUUGCAGCAAUCUUAAAUCCUAAACUAUUACAUUUCCUUUACAUUUACAUUACUAUUACUAUGACAUUAAAUCCUAAACUAUUUCCGGAAACAAUUUCAGAUUUUUCAUUGGAAAAAGCUUGCAGAGAUGUAAUGGAAGGCUCAAAAGCCAGUCAAAGCACAGGGUUUUCUGUAUCAGGCAUUACACAGAAGUUUGUCUUUGUUUUUAAUUCAGGGUCAAGGAUAAAAUGUCCUCAUUUUUUGUUUAGAGUAUCUAUAGCCCUUAUUUUCAUUACCAGCAAUCCCCAGAAAUUGUUUUGGUUUUCCAAUCAAGAAACAGAAGUCAACGAAAAGGAAAAUCAAGCACACAGUUUUAAAAGAGGUACUAUCUCUAAAUGUAAAGAAAUCCUUCAACCAACAAACCUUCUGUAAAUGUGCUUUACUUGGACAGGAAACCAGGACCUUGUAUAUGAUGAAGAGCAGACCUUUGGAGUUUGGGAUGACAUUUAGGAAAGAAAAAUCCCCCCACAUGUUAAAUGGCCAUUUACUUCUUUUUGAUACUUAUCUGGAAAAAAAGUCAUAUGAAGAGCAUCUGAGUCUGCUGUUACUCUGACUUAACUUUUAGGAUGGUCUAAUUUUCUCAGCUGAAUUUGCUAUCCAUGUUCAUUAAAGCUUUGAUUUAGUACUGGCUGUUUUAAUGAAAGAUGGUCCAGAAUUACAAAGAAAUAAAAGCAACUGCUAAAAUA
Non-coding RNA from Phalacrocorax carbo (great cormorant), 4701 nucleotides. The record is from RefSeq and is a predicted model, not a curated record. NCBI's taxonomy places the organism in Eukaryota, Metazoa, Chordata, Aves, Suliformes, Phalacrocoracidae.